This 427-nucleotide ribosomal RNA is filed under the name uncultured bacterium. RNAcentral describes it as "partial 16S ribosomal RNA". It matches the Rfam family "Bacterial small subunit ribosomal RNA", at positions 355 to 774 of the family's 1533-position model. The record is from RNAcentral.
UGGGGAAUAUUGCACAAUGGGCGCAAGCCUGAUGCAGCCAUGCCGCGUGUAUGAAGAAGGCCUUCGGGUUGUAAAGUACUUUCAGCGGGGAGGAAGGCGAUAAGGUUAAUAACCUUGUCGAUUGACGUUACCCGCAGAAGAAGCACCGGCUAACUCCGUGCCAGCAGCCGCGGUAAUACGGAGGGUGCAAGCGUUAAUCGGAAUUACUGGGCGUAAAGCGCACGCAGGCGGUUUGUCAAGUCGGAUGUGAAAUCCCCGGGCUCAACCUGGGAACUGCAUUCGAAACUGGCAGGCUAGAGUCUUGUAGAGGGGGGUAGAAUUCCAGGUGUAGCGGUGAAAUGCGUAGAGAUCUGGAGGAAUACUGGUGGCGAAGGCGGCCCCCUGGACAAAGACUGACGCUCAGGUGCGAAAGCGUGGGGAGCAAACA